AGUGAACGCUGGCGGUAGGCCUAACACAUGCAAGUCGAACGGCAGCACAGUAAGAGCUUGCUCUUACGGGUGGCGAGUGGCGGACGGGUGAGGCAUACAUCGGAAUCUUCUUUUUCGUGGGGGAUAACGUAGGGCCACUUACGCUAAUACCGCAUACGAUCUACGGGUGAAAGCAGGGGAUAUUCGGACCUUGCGCGAUUGAAUGAGCCGAUGUCGGAUUAGCUAGUGGGCGAGGUAAAGGCCCACCAAGGCAACGAUCCGUAGCUGAUCUGAGAGGAUGAUCAGCCACACUGGAACUGAGACACGGUCCAGACUCCUACGGGAGGCAGCAGUGGGGAAUAUUGGACAAUGGGCGCAAGCCUGACCCAGCCAUGCCGCGUGAGUGAAGAAGGCCUUCGGGUUGUAAAACCCUUUUAUUGGGAAAGAAAAGCAGCAGAUUAAUACCCCGCUGUUCUGACGGUACCCAAAGAAUAAGCACCGGCUAACUUCGUG
RNAcentral lists this ribosomal RNA (492 nucleotides) under uncultured bacterium. RNAcentral's name for it is "partial 16S ribosomal RNA". It matches the Rfam family "Bacterial small subunit ribosomal RNA", at positions 29 to 507 of the family's 1533-position model. The record is from RNAcentral.